RNAcentral lists this ribosomal RNA (684 nucleotides) under Alcaligenes sp. Dhal L. Its description in RNAcentral is "bacterial SSU rRNA". It matches the Rfam family "Bacterial small subunit ribosomal RNA", at positions 70 to 742 of the family's 1533-position model. The record is from RNAcentral. Lineage: Bacteria; Pseudomonadati; Pseudomonadota; Betaproteobacteria; Burkholderiales; Alcaligenaceae.
CAGCACGGGCUUCGGCCUGGUGGCGAGUGGCGAACGGGUGAGUAAUACAUCGGAACGUGCCCUGUAGUGGGGGAUAACUAGUCGAAAGAUUAGCUAAUACCGCAUACGACCUGAGGGUGAAAGCGGGGGACCGGUAACGGCCUCGCGCUACAGGAGCGGCCGAUGUCUGAUUAGCUAGUUGGUGGGGUAAAGGCCUACCAAGGCGACGAUCAGUAGCUGGUCUGAGAGGACGAUCAGCCACACUGGGACUGAGACACGGCCCAGACUCCUACGGGAGGCAGCAGUGGGGAAUUUUGGACAAUGGGGGCAACCCUGAUCCAGCAAUGCCGCGUGUGUGAAGAAGGCCUUCGGGUUGUAAAGCACUUUUGUCCGGAAAGAAAUGGCUCUGGUUAAUACCCGGGGUCGAUGACGGUACCGGAAGAAUAAGCACCGGCUAACUACGUGCCAGCAGCCGCGGUAAUACGUAGGGUGCGAGCGUUAAUCGGAAUUACUGGGCGUAAAGCGUGCGCAGGCGGUUUUGUAAGACAGGCGUGAAAUCCNCCGAGCUCAACUUGGGAAUGGCGCUUGUGACUGCAAGGCUAGAGUAUGUCAGAGGGGGGUUAGAAUUCCACGUGUAGCAGAGAAAUGCGUAGAGAUGUGGAGGAAUAACCGAUUGGCGAGGGCCGCCCCCUGGGGACGUCUCUG